Molecule: ribosomal RNA, 254 nt
Filed under: uncultured bacterium
Lineage: Bacteria
Description: partial 16S ribosomal RNA
Rfam family: Bacterial small subunit ribosomal RNA
Source: RNAcentral
UACGUAGGGUGCAAGCGUUGUCCGGAAUUAUUGGGCGUAAAGAGCUCGUAGGCGGUUUGUCGCGUCUGCUGUGAAAACUGGAGGCUCAACCUCCAGCCUGCAGUGGGUACGGGCAAACUAGAGUGCGGUAGGGGGAGAUUGGAAUUCCUGGUGUAGCGGUGGAAUGCGCAGAUAUCAGGAGGAACACCGGUGGCGAAGGCGGGUCUCUGGGCAGUAACUGACGCUGAGGAGCGAAAGCGUGGGGAGCGAACAGG